Lathyrus oleraceus (garden pea) is the source of this 873-nucleotide long non-coding RNA. RefSeq lists it as uncharacterized. The record is from RefSeq and is a predicted model, not a curated record. The transcript is spliced from 3 exons. NCBI's taxonomy places the organism in Eukaryota, Viridiplantae, Streptophyta, Magnoliopsida, Fabales, Fabaceae.
AAAUUAAAAAAAAACCGGUAACCAUUAUUACAAACCGGUUCAAGUAAACGGUUACCAUAUUUCAAUAAUCAUUUCAAAUUAACCCAAAACACAAAUUUCAGAAUCCCUAAUUCUCAAAAAUCCAAACUUUUUUCAUCUUUUUUUUCUCUUCAUCAUUCUUCAAAUUCCAAACUCAUCAAAACCUGCAUCGUAUGAUUUUUGAGAAACUGAAACAAAGAUUGUCCGGUGUAUCUUCUACCAAAUCCCUACCCUAACCCUUUCUUCUCAAACCCUUCAACUUGCAACUCAGAAUUUAUUUUAAGUUGCAUUGCGGAGGCUGUGGCAGGAUCAGCAGCAUGGCUUGGUAGAAGUCCGUCUUGUGUAUGUGUACAGAGAAGAGAUAGUGAUGCUUCUAGCUUUUUUGAUUUAACUCUAGCCCAGAAUCAAGAUGACUAAUGUUGGUACAACUUAUGCAACAUCCGAGAAUACAGUUUCAACCCCUCCACCUACAAUCUCUAAUGAAAUGCCACCUCCUCACACUAAGAAGCAAAGGAAUCGUUCAGAGGUUUGGAAGCAUUUCAUUGUAUCGUCGGAAGAAGAACAAAAAGCUUCGUGCAAAUACUGUGACACGAAAAUUAAGUAUAAUAAUGGAACUAGUUCCAUGCAUGCUCAUGUAUCGAGAUGCCUUGUUUACAAGAGGCAAAGGACAUUAUCUUCUACGACAAGUGUUGAAGAACAUGUUGGCUCUCCUUUAAUUGUCAAGUUUGACCAAGAAGCCAUUAGAAGAGCAAUGGUUAAGAUGUUCAUAAACAUGGAGAUUCCUUUUCGGAAGGUUGAACAUGAGUCUUUUCAUGAAUUUAUGAGUCUCGCAUCACCAAGAUUUCAGAUUUGUUC